GAUGAACGCUGGCGGCGUGCCUAAUACAUGCAAGUCGAGCGAACAGACGAGGAGCUUGCUCCUCUGACGUUAGCGGCGGACGGGUGAGUAACACGUGGAUAACCUACCUAUAAGACUGGGAUAACUUCGGGAAACCGGAGCUAAUACCGGAUAAUAUAUUGAACCGCGUGGUUCAAUAGUGAAAGACGGUUGUGCGGUCUCUUCUAGAUGGAUCCGCGCCUCAUUAGCUAGUAGUGAAGUUAACGGGUUACGAAGGCAACGAUGCGUAGCCGACGUGACGGGCGGGUCGCCGACCUGAGAGCGGAGCCGCGGUCCAGAGUACUACGGGACGCAGCAGUAUGGAAUCGUACGCAGUGGGCGAAAGCCUGACGCAGCAACGCCGCGUCAGUGAUGAAGGUCUUCGGAUCGUAAAACCCUGUUAUUAGGGAAAAACAAAUGUGUCCGUAACUAUGCACGUCUUGACGGUAACUAGUCAGGAAGCCACGGCUAACUACGUG
Molecule: ribosomal RNA, 497 nt
Filed under: uncultured bacterium
Lineage: Bacteria
Description: partial 16S ribosomal RNA
Rfam family: Bacterial small subunit ribosomal RNA
Source: RNAcentral